GGGAAGUUGGCCGACUGGAAAUGCUGCACUCCUGCCUCUGGGAGGUGCGUGUGUGAGACGUGGGGCCUGUGCCCACCUGCAGGGGUGUGUGCGCCAGUGCACUAGGCUGAGGAAAGGUCGCUACUUUUGGGUGGGAGGGGAAUUAGGAACACUUAGGCGCUGUCCUGCAAGAACAUUUUAUGCAAAUCAUUUAAUGACCUAAUUUGCAUAUAACCAUAAACUUCUGUUAAAAAAAAAAACAAACCCAACCCAAACCCAA
Pelodiscus sinensis (Chinese soft-shelled turtle) is the source of this 259-nucleotide non-coding RNA. Lineage: Eukaryota; Metazoa; Chordata; Testudines; Trionychidae. The record is from RefSeq and is a predicted model, not a curated record.